AUCGACAGAGGCUGUAGGUCUGGGAAAAGCGCCAUGAGGCCAGAGGGCGCUGUCUCUCCCUCAGGUUGGAGAGGGACGGAGAGGCGCUGAGAUUCACGCAUGCGCCCCUCCUCCUAGAGGGCCCGGCGAGACCCAGCCAAAAUUGGUCCGCUCCGCUGGGCUUUUUUCCCCCAUACAGGGGCUGAAUCUUUUGUGUACGCAUGCGUCUUGCCCAGGCUGCGGUUGGCUGACGACUCCAGCCGUCAUUGGAAGAACCAAUGGGGUCUCGUCCUGAGCCCCAGCUUCAUCCAUGCAGCUGCCUACCAGACAGAAGGAUGGCAUAAGCAAAGAUACAAAGGCUCUGUAAAGGAAUGGAGUGGGCUGCCCGGCUAGCCUCGAGUCCCAGGGAUGUGCAGCAGGGAUGCAUGGACUACGUCUGGAAAAGAAGUGUUGUGUUGGUUCUUUGAAGGCCCCGGGAGCCAGGCCGAGGAGUUUGGACUUUAUAUGGUGGGCAGCGGAGAACCCUGAGCUCAGGGAGAAGGGAGGUAAAGUCUGCAAUGACCCUGAGAGGGAGGCAGGACUGGUACGGAUCGCUGCAUUUUGCAGAUGAGGAGCCCAAGGCACGAAGACACUGUGUGACUUACCUGACUCCCGUGUGUUCUUGCAGCAACCAAGGCAUUAACCGUAGGAGAAUCCCUCCUAUGGCUUCUAACCAGACAAUUCUCCUUAGUCUGGGGCUGCCUCUGCUUCUGACAGAGCACCUGGAAGAUACUCUCACCUGAAAACCCCACCUCAGACACCUUGAAACGCCCCCCACCGCAGGCUAACUGCCUUCUUUCCUGCUGAGGGGAAGCUCCGAGCUCACACAGUGGCAGGGCCACGCCGUCCUUCUUUCUCCCCCUCAGCUGACCGACCGCACCAAAGAAACCAGAACCCAAGCCGAAGUAUCAGAAACGUG
This 937-nucleotide long non-coding RNA is filed under the name Equus caballus (horse). RNAcentral describes it as "lncRNA (ENSECAG00000049778.1)". Lineage: Eukaryota; Metazoa; Chordata; Mammalia; Perissodactyla; Equidae. The record is from RNAcentral.